AUUUUCUGGCUACAGCUGCCUGUGAAUCCUAUGAAGUCCUGAUGUUUGUUUUUCCUGAGUGACACAACAGAAUCUGCGAGGAAUGGAGAAAGCUGUCUCUUCUUCUUCAUCAGAGCAGCAAAGAGCGCAUCGGUGUGAUGGAGGCAAAACCGUGUUAAUGACACUGGAGCCAAACAAAGAAGAUUUUUCUGCCCUUGGGUGCCCCCAAGGUGAACAGAGAAUAGCUGCUUUUGUUAAAGAUGCAAAAAUGCCUCUGGAGAGUGCAGCUUUAUCGGGGACAUCAGUGGAAGGGGGGACUGAUCUCAAGGAGGCUGCCUUCUAUGCUUCCGACAACGUGGCAGCAAUGAACAGAGAUGGGAGAGGGAAUUCGGGUGCUGAUGACAUGUGCAGCCGUAAGAAGGAUCCCACUUUUUUCUUGCCUCUAGCCCGCCAGGAGCCAGACGUUGGUUUGGAAGCACACAACGUGGCAGGUGAAUAGCUCCAAGAUCUUUCCACUUGUGAUACUGAGAGUUUUGGAGCUGGAGGGAGUCUGAUGACGACACAGCCAUGCUGAACAGUUCCUGUUCUAGUUUGUUUGAGCUUAUACAUUUGUUGGGGCAACCAGAAGAGAAUCCAGAAGAGAAACCUCAGCCUGAACCAAUCUACACGGGAGGUCCACUUCCUAGACACCACGGUACAAAUAAGUGACGGUCACGUUAACACCACCCUAUAUCAAAAACCCACCGACCGCUAUGCCUACCUUGAGUUAAUUGGUAAUUUAGCAACAUGGUAAUGAUCUUCAAGUUCAGCACCACAGACAGGGAUGUAAAAUUCAGUGGCAGUAGUGAACUGAUAGCUCUUGGGAGUUCUGCUUGCCACAGUCAAAACUACCUGCUCAAUUCAUGAAUCUUAGACUUGUCAGAUCCAUUAAAUGGUGCUGGUCAGAUGCUGAAAUGCCAGUGGCACUUGGUAAUUUAGUGAUCUGUAUGUAAACCGUGUAAAAAAUGUAACUGUUUUCUUGCAACAUACCCAGAGGAUUACUAUGCUAUUUUAAAGUGCAGUGUCUCUAUGUAUAAAACACGUACCAACAAUCCUGCAUUGAAACAACAAGGAGUCCGGUGGCACUUUAAAGACUAACAGACUUAUUUGGGCAUAAGCUUUUGUGGGUAAGCUUCUUCAGAUGUAUGGAGUGAAAUUUACAGAUGCAGGCAUUAUAUAAUGACACAUGAAUCCUGCAUUGGGAGACCUAAUUAGGCCCUUUGCACAUCUGUGGAUUGCAAUACUUCCCACUUGUUCUCCUUGUACCAGUCCAGAGCUGUGAGGAUAGACUCCUCUGCCAGCAGGUGGAAAUAGGAACCCUGGAGAAUUUGGAGUGAUUUCUUCCUUUGCUAAGUGGAGUUCAUAGGCACAAAAUAUUCUGUUGGUUACAG
This 1409-nucleotide long non-coding RNA is filed under the name Chrysemys picta bellii (western painted turtle). RNAcentral describes it as "lncRNA (ENSCPBG00000020807.1)". The record is from RNAcentral. Lineage: Eukaryota; Metazoa; Chordata; Testudines; Emydidae.